This 467-nucleotide ribosomal RNA is filed under the name uncultured Allobrachymonas sp. Its description in RNAcentral is "bacterial SSU rRNA". It matches the Rfam family "Bacterial small subunit ribosomal RNA", at positions 910 to 1382 of the family's 1533-position model. Lineage: Bacteria; Pseudomonadati; Pseudomonadota; Betaproteobacteria; Burkholderiales; Comamonadaceae. The record is from RNAcentral.
GUUGACGGGACCCGCACAAGCGGUGGAUGAUGUGGAUUAAUUCGAUGCAACGCGAAAACCUUACCCACCUUUGACAUGGCAGGAAUCCUAAAGAGAUUUGGGAGUGCUCGAAAGAGAACCUGCACACAGGUGCUGCAUGGCUGUCGUCAGCUCGUGUCGUGAGAUGUUGGGUUAAGUCCCGCAACGAGCGCAACCCUUGCCAUUAGUUGCUACGAAAGGGCACUCUAAUGGGACUGCCGGUGACAAACCGGAGGAAGGUGGGGAUGACGUCAAGUCCUCAUGGCCCUUAUAGGUGGGGCUACACACGUCAUACAAUGGCCGGUACAGAGGGUAGCCAACCCGCGAGGGGGAGCCAAUCCCACAAAGCCGGUCGUAGUCCGGAUCGCAGUCUGCAACUCGACUGCGUGAAGUCGGAAUCGCUAGUAAUCGCGGAUCAGCAUGUCGCGGUGAAUACGUUCCCGGGUCUU